AAUUAUAUUAUUUUGUUUAUUGGUUAACUCGCAGGAUAUGCGAGUUAAUUCAUUUGAGAUUGUAAUCCGCCAUAUACUAACUCGAUAACCCUGACUUUUUAGAAAUCUAAAAGUAUAACCCUAUAAUAAAAUAGAUUAUGUCCAACUCGCGGAUUCUAAACCUGAAUUGACAUGGCGGAACCAUUCAUAAAACCAUACCAAUUCUUGCGUUUUGGAAAGUUGGUUUCCUUUUCAUUUCUUUGAAUUUGAUCCUAGAUUGUGUAGUUCUCAAGCUCAUGCUCUUGCUCGUCAAA
RNAcentral lists this small RNA (293 nucleotides) under Arabidopsis thaliana (thale cress). RNAcentral describes it as "ATSL218680". Lineage: Eukaryota; Viridiplantae; Streptophyta; Magnoliopsida; Brassicales; Brassicaceae. The record is from RNAcentral.